UUUUGCAUGUGAUACUUAUACCAGAAAGU
RNAcentral lists this non-coding RNA (29 nucleotides) under Rattus norvegicus (Norway rat). The record is from RNAcentral. Lineage: Eukaryota; Metazoa; Chordata; Mammalia; Rodentia; Muridae.